This 601-nucleotide ribosomal RNA is filed under the name Escherichia coli. RNAcentral describes it as "partial 23S ribosomal RNA". It matches the Rfam family "Bacterial large subunit ribosomal RNA", at positions 165 to 808 of the family's 2925-position model. RNAcentral also lists the same sequence under 1 other name. The record is from RNAcentral. Lineage: Bacteria; Pseudomonadati; Pseudomonadota; Gammaproteobacteria; Enterobacterales; Enterobacteriaceae.
CAUAGGUUAAUGAGGCGAACCGGGGGAACUGAAACAUCUAAGUACCCCGAGGAAAAGAAAUCAACCGAGAUUCCCCCAGUAGCGGCGAGCGAACGGGGAGGAGCCCAGAGCCUGAAUCAGUGUGUGUGUUAGUGGAAGCGUCUGGAAAGGCGCGCGAUACAGGGUGACAGCCCCGUACACAAAAAUGCACAUAUUGUGAGCUCGAUGAGUAGGGCGGGACACGUGGUAUCCUGUCUGAAUAUGGGGGGACCAUCCUCCAAGGCUAAAUACUCCUGACUGACCGAUAGUGAACCAGUACCGUGAGGGAAAGGCGAAAAGAACCCCGGCGAGGGGAGUGAAAAAGAACCUGAAACCGUGUACGUACAAGCAGUGGGAGCCUCUUAAUGGGGUGACUGCGUACCUUUUGUAUAAUGGGUCAGCGACUUAUAUUCUGUAGCAAGGUUAACCGAAUAGGGGAGCCGAAGGGAAACCGAGUCUUAACUGGGCGUUAAGUUGCAGGGUAUAGACCCGAAACCCGGUGAUCUAGCCAUGGGCAGGUUGAAGGUUGGGUAACACUAACUGGAGGACCGAACCGACUAAUGUUGAAAAAUUAGCGGAUGAC